Molecule: ribosomal RNA, 574 nt
Filed under: uncultured Roseibacillus sp.
Lineage: Bacteria; Pseudomonadati; Verrucomicrobiota; Verrucomicrobiia; Verrucomicrobiales; Verrucomicrobiaceae
Description: bacterial SSU rRNA
Rfam family: Bacterial small subunit ribosomal RNA
Source: RNAcentral
UCAAUAGCUUGCUAAUGAAAUUCUUAGUGGCGGACGGGUUAGUAACACGUGAGAAUCCUACCCUUGAGUGGGGAAUAGCCUUUCGAAAGGAAGAUUAAUGCCCCAUAGUCUCUACGGAGUAAAGAUGCCUUCGGGUGUCGCUUAAGGAUGGGCUCGCGGCCUAUCAGCUAGUUGGUGAGGUAAGAGCUCACCAAGGCAACGACGGGUAGCUGGUCUGAGAGGACGAUCAGCAACACUGGAACUGAGACACGGUCCAGACACCUACGGGUGGCAGCAGUCGAGAAUCAUUCACAAUGGACGAAAGUCUGAUGGUGCAACGCCGCGUGGAGGAUGACGGCCCUAGGGUUGUAAACUCCUGUCAUCAGGGAGUAAGACUUAUUCGUUAAUAGCGUGUAAGUUUGAUAGUACCUGAAGAGGAAGGGACGGCUAACUUCGUGCCAGCAGCCGCGGUAAUACGAAGGUCCCAAGCGUUGUUCGGAAUAACUGGGCGUAAAGCGUGUGUAGGCCGCGCGGAAAGUCGGAUGUGAAAGCCCAAGGCUCAACCUUGGAACUGCAUCCGAUACUCCCGUGCUAG